CCUAAGAGAUACGUGUUAUGUGCAGUGCUCACACAGAUUGUCUGAUGAAGAACGAGCAAAAGCGCGUCUGCGAAGCUGACAAAAGUCCCUUUCGUCUAGAGGCCUAGGACACCGCCCUUUCACGGCGGUAACAGGGGUUCGAAUCCCCUAGGGGACGCCAAUGCGCGGUAUGAGUGAAAGGCGUACCACUUAUCUGACGAAAGUCAGAGAAUAAUUAAGCUAAUUCAAAUGAGUUAUCUUACUUAUUAUGCUCUUUAACAAUCUGGAACAAGCUGAAAAAUUGAAAACAAAUCAAUAUAUCACCGAGGUAUAUUGAUGAGUCUCUCAAAAUCUCAAACCUUAAAGUUUGUCACGCAAAGUUUAUCUUUGAAAAAGACACUUUCGGGUUGUGA
Molecule: unclassified non-coding RNA, 392 nt
Filed under: Proteus mirabilis
Lineage: Bacteria; Pseudomonadati; Pseudomonadota; Gammaproteobacteria; Enterobacterales; Morganellaceae
Description: partial 16S-23S ribosomal RNA intergenic spacer
Rfam family: tRNA (bases 85-157)
Source: RNAcentral